UUAUUUCGCGCAGCUUAGGUGGGAGACGUUGAACCUUUUCUUCCGGGAAUGGGGGAGUCAUCAGUGAGAUACCACUCUUGGUGAGCUAGAGCGCUCAUUUUUAACCGUUAUCCGGUAAAAAAACAGUUUCAGGCGGGCAGUUUGACUGGGGCAGUCACCUCCCAAAAGGUAAUGGAGGUGUACAAAGGUUCUCUCAGGCUGGACGGAAAUCAGCCAUAGAGUGUAAAAGCAUAAGAGAGCUUGACUGCGAGACGGACAUGUCAAGCAGAGACGAAAGUCGGUUUUAGUGAUCCGACGGUGCUGAGUGGAAAGGCCGUCGCUCAACGGAUAAAAGUUACUCUAGGGAUAAC
Molecule: ribosomal RNA, 350 nt
Filed under: uncultured eukaryote
Lineage: Eukaryota
Description: LSU rRNA
Rfam family: Bacterial large subunit ribosomal RNA
Source: RNAcentral